Molecule: long non-coding RNA, 1070 nt
Organism: Ornithorhynchus anatinus (platypus)
Lineage: Eukaryota; Metazoa; Chordata; Mammalia; Monotremata; Ornithorhynchidae
Exons: 3
Source: RefSeq, a predicted model, not a curated record
AUUCCGUUGGGAUCGACAGCGAGGCUUGUGACAGCAUCCAAAUGAGCCACCAUAGAAUGGAUCGUUUUACCUACGGAACACACACAGAACAGGGGAAUUAAGGGUCUCCAAGGAUAAAAUGCAGCCAGAGGAAGAGCUGAAGUCACAAAGGUAACAGCCCCAGAGAGAGAACACAAAGGUUCAGAUUCUUGCACCUAUAUACACCAGGUCUUAUUACCAGUCUGAAAGCAGUCUUCAGCAAUAUGCAGAAAAGAAGCUCUGAGCUGAAGCCAGGCCUCUCUUCAAAAGAGCAGAAAAAUCACCUUUGAGAAACGCAGCCUGGCCACCAGCUGGGUUUCCAUGGGUCAACGGCAGCAACUUGGCUUGCGGAACUGCCGACCUGGUAGCUGAAUAAACGUGAUAGGGUCUGCCUCCUAACCCCUGUCGGCCAAUCGUUUACUGCAGGAGCCACUGAGAUGCACCAUUAUGGAUACGAGACAGCCUGGAUGAUCCUGCACCAUCACAUGUUAAAGAAGUCCAGGGGAAGCUUUUACGCACACUAGACCGAAAACAUCUUUUCAAUCACAGGUAGGGAGGCUCUCUUGGUAGGGAAAUAGGGAUGGUGGGAUUCCAAAGUACAGGAAACUACACCAAGUUCACCACAGUCCUGAUUCCACUAUCACCAGUGUCUAGAGACAGCAGCUUGAAACUGUCCAGGUACAGCACCCAAGAGGGGUAUACACUUUGCUCUCUCUUCAGAAAGAAGGAAUGAUGAAAACUCUAUGUUCCCAUUUCUUAUUUCUGCCACCCCUCCAAAAAAGUCUUUAAGAUAUUUGAAAGAGCUGGAAAUAUUUACCAGGUCAUGACAUGCUUAUGAAUGCCACAACAAUACCAGUAUUGGUUGUGGACUUUGGGAAAAUCCUUCUGCAAACACCAACUCAGACAUCCCAGAAAAUUACUCUGACCCCCAAACUUGCAAUUCCCAUCACCAUCAGGUCUCACUGACCUUGCUGGAUCUCAGGUGCUCAUAAAAACAAUAGACUGAUUGAAUACUUUUCAGAUUACAUAAAAAGCUAUAGUAACUCAUUUUC